CGGACCUUGUGAUUAUUGGUAUAUCUUCAAACCACAAGUUCCAGCCUCCAAAAGAGGAGAAUGGUGGCCUCCACAGGUGAAGUAGCGCCGCCAGACUGAAGCAGGUGUCCAACAUGGCGAUCACGGGGAACGGAUCUCUCCCUACAUCUCUGGCUUUAUUCUUGGUUUCGGCAGCUUUUCUUCUCAAAGGAUUGGAGUUGCAGUCAUCCUUACCAAGAAAAACAUCUUUCUGAUGAGAGAGAGAGAUGGUUUCAUGACGGUUCCAGAAAUGCGUUGUUCAGCCAGUUACAAGAAUAUGCUGCUGCCUUGCCACCCUUCUCUGAGCGCUAAAACGCCUCCUGUCCUGUCCGGCAUCCCCCUCCUGUUCCUGGGCAGCGAACAUCGUCGUGGGGCCUGGAGAACGAGCUACCGCACAGCCUGCCUGUCCAGAACCUGUGACACACCCUUCCCGUGUCUUUCCCACGGGCUUGAUGGCCAGCUCUAGGAAGAGGUCCUAGCAACAGAGCACUAACUCGCUGUCUCUCUCCUUCUCCUGGAUGAUACCCUUUUUGGGUGUGGAAACCUCCCUGCUCCGAAGUGGGCAUUAACCAAGAUGGUGCUGUCCUGUGGCGACGUGGUGCUGGUCUUGCUCUGUGCGGGGUAGCUGCUUGCCACUAGCAUGACAGCUGCUGGUUUGCUGUCCUGUUCCUUCCUAGUCUGAGUCGAGGCUCUUGGGCUGGGGUGUGGGUGUGGCUUUGUAGGGACCUGUCCUAAUACCUCCUUUCUGUCUCACAGAAUUCUGCUCUUCUGAGUGUCGCUCACUCAAUUUUUAGGGGUGCGAGGUUUAACCCAUUUCUAGCUCCUUUCAGCAGCCAUCUUGGCACGAGGCUCCCUACAAACGCCUCUCUCACGCCAUCACAAUUCUUACCCCUUUUUUUUCUUAUUUACAGCUUCGGACGUGUUCUCUCGGAUGUUCUGGUGCGAUUACAAGCCUUCUUUUAUUUUCUGCAUGUUGUUUUUGGCAUUGUAUUUGUUCAAUAAAGUUUUCUUUUGGUUUGUUUGUUUUCCAUUUUCAUGUUCAAGAUGAAAUUAGAUGCUGUUUUAACAAUCAGAAUGCCUGCACUGCAAAGUGAAAGCAGUUUGCACUUCACUUAUUUACAAGUAAACCUGAUCAGUCAUUAUGUGAAUAUACCUUCACAUUAGCAGGAAAUUGGAAACCAUCUUAUUAACCAAGGGUGUAGACAUAUUCUGCUGGAAGUUAAUGAACUGAGGAAUUGAAAUCUGAGACGCACACAAUUUUCUUUUUUUUUCUGCUUAACUCGGUGUGGAUAAAAAAGCAGCUCUCUAUACAUCAUGUUGGCUCUUCUAUAAGGAUGAUUUCCAAUUAAGAAGGGAUUACAGUGAUCUAUUAGCCUUUCUCUAAUCUUUUUAAGUACUGUACAACAUCAUAACACGUCCCAAGAUCAAGGUCAGACACUUAAUUUUUCUGACUUCAAGAUUUACUUCAUUAUUUGCUUGAAAAGCUAUUUUUUUCCUGCACUUGCUAACUAAAUAGGAGGC
Molecule: long non-coding RNA, 1539 nt
Filed under: Lepisosteus oculatus (spotted gar)
Lineage: Eukaryota; Metazoa; Chordata; Actinopteri; Semionotiformes; Lepisosteidae
Description: lncRNA (ENSLOCG00000022738.1)
Source: RNAcentral